AAAAGAGUGCGUAAUAGCUCACUGGUCGAGUGACUCUGCGCCGAAAAUUUAACGGGGCUAAACUAUACACCGAAGCUUGGGAUACAUCUAAUGUAUGGUAGGAGAGCGUUCUGUAUGGGGAGAAGUCGUAGCGAAAGCGGCGGUGGACUAUACAGAAGUGAGAAUGCCGGAAUAAGUAGCGAGAAUUAAGUGAGAAUCUUAAUGGCCGAAAGUCUAAGGUUUUUGGAGGAAGGUUCGUCCGCUCCAAGUAAGUCGGGAGCUAAGGUCAGGCCGAAAGGCGUAGCCGAUGCACAUACGGUUGAUAUUCCGUAACCAUCUGUAAUUUAAGCAAAGGGACACUUCAAAAGGGUGUGACCCGGGCGUUGGUUGACCCGGGCGUAAGGGACCGAAAUUAGAGUAGGGAAGCACACUUAGCUGAAGGCGAGAAAAGCUUUGCGUAUAGAAACAGAUGCCCGUACCGCAAACCGACACAGGUGGACAGGAAGAGAAUUCUAAGGCCAGCGGGAGAAGGGUAGUUAAGGAACUCGGCAAAUUGACUCCGUAACUUCGGAAUAAGGAGUGCUCGAAAGAGCCGCAGAGAAUAGGCCCAGGCGACUGUUUAGCAAAAACACAGGUCUCUGCCAAAUCGAAAGAUGAAGUAUAGGGGCUGACACCUGCCCGGUGCCGGAAGGUUAAGAGGAGGAGUGAGAGCUCCGAAUUGAAGCCCCGGUAAACGGCGGCCGUAACUAUAACGGUCCUAAGGUAGCGAAAUUCCUUGUCGGGUAAGUUCCGACCCGCACGAAUGGUGUAACGAUCUGGGCACUGUCUCAACUACCCACCCGGCGAAAUUGUAGUACCGGUGAAGAUGCCGGUUACCUGCGGCAAGACGGAAAGACCCCAUGGAGCUUUACUGUAGCCUGAUAUUGGGUUUCGGAAAUCUAUGUACAGGAUAGGCGGGAGACUGGGAAACAUGAGCGUCAGCUUGUGUGGAGUCGAUGUUGGGAUACCGCCCUUAGGUUUCUGGAAUUCUAACCUGCGGCCGUGAAUCCGGUCGGGGGACAUUGUCAGGUGGGCAGUUUGACUGGGGCGGUCGCCUCCGAAAAGGUAACGGAGGCGCUCAAAGGUUAGCUCAGCACGGACGGAAACCGUGCCUCUGAGUGUAAACGCAAAAGCUAGCCUAACUGCGAGGGUGACGGCCCGAGCAGUAACGAAAGUUGGAGUUAGUGAUCCGGC
RNAcentral lists this ribosomal RNA (1212 nucleotides) under human gut metagenome. Its description in RNAcentral is "bacterial LSU rRNA". It matches the Rfam family "Bacterial large subunit ribosomal RNA", at positions 1124 to 2424 of the family's 2925-position model. The record is from RNAcentral.